This 21689-nucleotide long non-coding RNA is filed under the name Solanum tuberosum (potato). RNAcentral's name for it is "long non-coding RNA (STUB_LNC011123)". The record is from RNAcentral. Lineage: Eukaryota; Viridiplantae; Streptophyta; Magnoliopsida; Solanales; Solanaceae.
UGCUUGAGAGAUCUAUGGUUGUCAUAAUUGUGCUGAUUCUUUGUAGCUCAAUAUUCUGCCCUUUGAUUACCAAACUCACUGAAUCCUCAUAUGAUGUGUCAAAUGACGAAUUCAACACAGAUUCCAUGUACUUGAUAUUUCCUGUGUCUUCACCAUCUAAUUUGAUCAUUGCCUUGAAGUUUCCAAAAACUUUUGCAGGAAGUGAGCCACUNNNNNNNNNNNNNNNNNNNNNNNNNNNNNNNNNNNNNNNNNNNNNNNNNNNNNNNNNNNNNNNNNNNNNNNNNNNNNNNNNNNNNNNNNNNNNNNNNNNNNNNNNNNNNNNNNNNNNNNNNNNNNNNNNNNNNNNNNNNNNNNNNNNNNNNNNNNNNNNNNNNNNNNNNNNNNNNNNNNNNNNNNNNNNNNNNNNNNNNNNNNNNNNNNNNNNNNNNNNNNNNNNNNNNNNNNNNNNNNNNNNNNNNNNNNNNNNNNNNNNNNNNNNNNNNNNNNNNNNNNNNNNNNNNNNNNNNNNNNNNNNNNNNNNNNNNNNNNNNNNNNNNNNNNNNNNNNNNNNNNNNNNNNNNNNNNNNNNNNNNNNNNNNNNNNNNNNNNNNNNNNNNNNNNNNNNNNNNNNNNNNNNNNNNNNNNNNNNNNNNNNNNNNNNNNNNNNNNNNNNNNNNNNNNNNNNNNNNNNNNNNNNNNNNNNNNNNNNNNNNNNNNNNNNNNNNNNNNNNNNNNNNNNNNNNNNNNNNNNNNNNNNNNNNNNNNAAGAUGAUAAGAAUAAAGAUGAUAGGCUAAGAAAGGUGAUAUUCAUUCCCUCAUCAAUAGUGAUGUUAUUUGAUGAAAUGUCAAGGGUAAAAAGAUUUGUGAGAUUCACAAGUGAUUGAGGAAAAGAACCACUGAGUUGAUUAUUGCUUAAAUGCAGUUCUUUUAAUGUUGGGUUUGUUUUGAUCACUUCAUCGGCUAGUCUUCUGAAUCGGUUAUGUUGGAGCGACACUGAAGAUAGCAAAGGUAGGCUAAACACCGAAGAUGGUAUGGUACCAUUCUGUGAGUUGUAUGUCAAAUCCACAGAAGUUAGCUUUUGAAGCAUGCUUGGGUUGCUAGGCAGUGGGCCAGAUAGGGAGUUACUCGACAUGUCUAAGUAUUCAAGAUGUGUCAAACUUAAAAUUGAAGAGGGAAACGAACCGAUGAAGCUGUUAUUAGAAAGAUGUAAAGUACGUAGCUCUUUGAGGUUAGAGAAAACAUCAGGAAUUUCACCUGAAAAGGAGUUGGAAGAAAGAUCUAAAUAACUUAGCUUUUGGAGGUUAGAGAAAACAUCAGGAAUUUCACCUGAAAAGGAGUUGGAAGAAAGAUCUAAAUAACUUAGCUUUUGGAGGUUAGAGAAAACAUCAGGAAUUUCACCUGAAAAGGAGUUGGAAGAAAGAUCUAAAUAACUUAGCUUUUGGAGGUUAGAGAAAACAUCAGGAAUUUCACCUGAAAAGGAGUUGUCAGAAAGAUAUAAAAUUCUGAGGUGCUUUAAUUUAGAGAUUGUGGAAGGAAUAUGGCCAGUGAAAUGAUUAUUAGAUAAAUCCAACUCCCUAAUUUGUGUUAGGUUGCCUAUGGAAUGAGGAAUGGAACCAGAGAAUUGACAUCUAUGGAGGUUCAAGAUAUUCAAGGAACUGAAGGUGCCAAUUGAAUGAGGCAGCUCACCAGAGAUGCCUGUGUUUGAAAUAUCCAACUCCAUUAACAGAGUGUUGCUCCGGUGGAUCUUUGGAAAAACUCCUUUGAGAAGAUCAUUAUCACUCAAUUUGAGCGUUUCCAAGCUGUUUGACGGAAGGAAAAAGCUCUCUGUGAGAACACCUCGCAGAUUAGUAUAACCAAGAUCCAGAUACCUUAAGGAGGAAGAAGAAAUAUUCACAGGUAUCGCAGAUGAGAUGUUGACUUCAAAGAGAGAAAGUAUCUCCAGAUUUGUGAAGUUCUGAAACAUUGCUUCAAAUGUUCUCUCGUCAAGUUGUAAUCCAUUCCAAAAAGAUCAAGUGAAACCAAAUUGGAAAGGCAUGAGAUUUCUGUUGGGAUUUUCCCAUCAAAGCCAGAGAGUUUUGUGCCUCAAAUUCGUCAAUCGGCCAAUGCCAUUUGGGAUUGAAGAAGGAUUAAAGUAAUUGCUAUCAAGGUUUAGUGUUUGGAGAUGAUGGAGUUGGAAGAGGGUGCUAUUGGGAUGAAAAGUGCCAAAAAGCUGACUACAACUAAGGUCUAACCUGAUAACAUGACCGUUUAAUAAGUCACAAGUGACUCCAUCCCAACUGCAGCAAUCCCUACUCUCAUUCCAAGACUCUGUUUUUGGGAAAGAAGCUCCAUCACCCAGAAAACUAAAGUACGUAAUUUGAGAGGAUUGUUUGAACUGAAGCAAAGCAGAAGCUUCAGUGGGAGAGCAAAGAUGAUGAUCAAAGGAAGAAGAAAAGCAUUCACUUAUUAGCAACACAAAACACAGAAAUGAAUAAAAGAAAAAGAAACGUCCCAUUUUUUGUUUGUUUGUUUGUUUUCAGCAAAUAACAGGAUGUUUGUUCUCUUCUUACAAAUCAAUCAGCAUUAUCCACAUAUAUAUAUACUAGUUUCAGUUGUCAUACAUAAAUUGAAUACCUAUAACGUAAUCCAACAAGUAAAGUUUCAAGAAGAUAGGAUAUACGAAGACCUUUAUGAAGUAAGAAUACAAACAACAAAAAUUUUCAAUGAAAAAAUAUAAUAUUAAGUUAAAAUAAUCAAAUCUUACUCAAAACAUUAAGAAGAUUAUACAAUGGUAUUGAAAUAAUUGCGCUGAAUUUGAUAAGUUGAUAUAAUAUUAUGAAAAUGGUAUUGAUUUCGCUACAUCAAAAAUGAUUUAUAACGGCAAUUAAUUAAGUUUAAUUGCCGCUAAAUAUGUAUUUUUAACGGCAAUUAACACUCUUUGCAUAUGUCCCUAAAGCUUUUUGCGACAUUGGAUCUAAUGACACUUAACUAAUACCGGUAAAAUCUUUAACACUCUUUAUUAAUGUAUAUAUUUAUUGCCGCUAAAAGUUGUUUUUGUUGUAGUGUUUGUUGCAGUGCUUGUAAUUCAAAGAAUACACCAAAAAACAAAUUAGAUCUUUUUUUUUAACACCCAACAAUUUAUUUUGCAUAAUGCAAAAGGUUUUACCGUUUGGUAGGCUUUAGAAUAUUCAAUAAUGAAUAAAUAAAAAUAGUAAUAGGAAUAAAAAAGGUAAAAAUAAUAAUAUGGGUUCAUGAUGAUUGUCAUAACAAAGAAUGUUAUAAUUAUCUAAACACUAUUUUAUUUCUUAAUUAUUACAACGACCUCCAUAUUAAAUAAAGUAAACAGUUAACUAAACACUAUUUGAUAAAGUAACGUUGUUUACUUGUCUAUGCAUGAGACUAUGAGGUAUAAAUUAACGAAAGAAAAGAAACACAUCCAGACAAAUAAAAUGGGGUAAUAAUUUGUGGUUACAAAAAAAAUUGUCCCAAGUGUUAAGUCAAUUUCCAGGAAGACUCAAAUUAAAGUCACUUCUAACAACUUGUUACACAUAUUUUGUAGUGUUCCAUAAGACUUUUUAGAGCAUGAAGAAGACUUCACAAAAUAAUACUUCGGCCAAACAUAUAUGUAGAUAUUUAAACUUGUUCCUAAAUUUCAUUUUGACACUCCAACUCAACCUUGUUCCAUUUUAACCCUUCAACUCCAAUUUUUAUGUUUCAUUUAGGUACUUCUUUCCAAAGAAUCAACAAAGUGGACGUAUGUAUUUCACACACCAUGACAUGGCAUAAAAUUCAAUUAAAAACAUACACAACUCAUCUAACUUGCCCCCAUUUUUCAUUUUGACAUUCUAACUUAGUCUUGUUCCAUUUUAAUCCUUCAACUCUGUUUUAUAUACAAUUUAAACACAAAAUACUAAAUUUAUGAUUUCUUCAUUUUUAUUUAUGUUCUUCAUUUUCACUUUUUCAUUUUAAAAAUUAACGUCAUAUCUUUUUCUUAAAAAAUAAUAAUUAAUGGAUGAACAUCAAUUUUUUUAAAAUGUUUGCGCCUUAUUCUUUAGGUAUUCAAUAUACGUCUUAACAACAGUGUUUUGUAAGUGAAACAGAGUAACAACGUAACAUACCUAGUGUAAUCCCACAAGUGGGGUCUGAAGAGAGUGACAUGUACCCUUUGUUUCCAAUAGUUCGAAUGUAUUUUAGGCUUUUCUCCGUUUGUUCUAUUUUUUGUUUCUCGAAAAAUUGAAUGCUAGAGCUUUAAAGAAAUUUUCUUACUAUCAACUCGUCUAAAAGUAACUAUAGAUGACUCUUCAUUAUAAGUGAAAUUAAUAACAUGCAAAUCAAGGUAAACAACAUGCUAACUACAACACGUUAAAUUAUACUGAUUGUAGACUUCAUAUUGUUGGUAUAUAUAAUUUAAAUUUGUUUAAAUAUGAAUGUCAUAUGGAAAGAAAUUUUUUGAAUCCUUAACUUCAUGGUGAAUGACCCAAAUAUAGAUGCCAAAACUUAAUGGGCUUUUAGAAAUUACAAAAGAGGGUUAAAUAUGUGAAUUACAGUGAAUUUAUGAUUAGUUUUAAGUCGUUACAAUAAUUGAGUUACAAUUAUUAUCUUUGCCGGCAAUAGCAAAAGCGACAAAUAUGCUUGUUUCGACUUUAAUGGCAAUAGUAAAGGCCGCUAAAAGAAAUUACUUUUAGUGGCAAUAAUAAGGGUCUUUACCGGCACUCGACAUAAAUGUCACUAAAGGCUUUAGCGACAUUGGAUCCAAUGACAUUUAAUCAAAUGCCGGUAAAUGUAUUUGUGGCAAUAAAUAUUGUUGUUAAAAGAAAAAUCAAUUGCCGCUAAAGGUCUCUUUUGAUGUAGUGUAUAUGAGGUAUAAAUUAACGAAAGAAAAGAAACACAUGCAUCCAGACAANNNNNNNNNNNNNNNNNNNNNNNNNNNNNNNNNNNNNNNNNNNNNNNNNNNNNNNNNNNNNNNNNNNNNNNNNNNNNNNNNNNNNNNNNNNNNNNNNNNNNNNNNNNNNNNNNNNNNNNNNNNNNNNNNNNNNNNNNNNNNNNNNNNNNNNNNNNNNNNNNNNNNNNNNNNNNNNNNNNNNNNNNNNNNNNNNNNNNNNNNNNNNNNNNNNNNNNNNNNNNNNNNNNNNNNNNNNNNNNNNNNNNNNNNNNNNNNNNNNNNNNNNNNNNNNNNNNNNNNNNNNNNNNNNNNNNNNNNNNNNNNNNNNNNNNNNNNNNNNNNNNNNNNNNNNNNNNNNNNNNNNAUUGGUCCCAUAUUUAUGUGGAAAGAAAUUCUGCAGAACUUGUAAGAAAUUUCCAAUGACAGAAACUAUUGCUUGACUAAGUCAAGUGAGGAAAAAAAUGAACAAUAAUUGAAGACAUGAUUUAAGUCCUCCAUCUACUUAUAGUAUGUAACAACAAAACAAUAAUACCGUGUGGAAUUUUAUUUUUGUUUGAUAUGAUUAGUUGCGUUGUCUCUUGUGCUGUUUUCCACAAAAAAAAUUUACUCGGGUCAUAAUAAACGUGACAGUAGGUAUAAUUUUACUUACCAAACACACCACAAAUUUUACAACAGUAAGACCUCCUAGACUAUCCACAUUGGGCUGAACUUUGUUCAUAACAAUACUCUCGUCCUCAAUAAGAACCUUGUCCGCAAGGUUUGAGUAAAGAAAUCCCACAACAAAAGACAGUGAUAAGCUAGAUGUAGCUACUGAAACUUCCACAAGUACAAAGGCCACUGGUUGGCAGGUCCAAAUGGAUAUCAAGAAGAAAUCAGUACGUAGUCCUGUAUGCGCUAACUACACUAGUGCGUGUAAUGUUGUUCACAUAGCCUUUAAUAAUGGGCAAGAAUGAUAUGUACUUUUCUGGUGCAAGUACUAUUCCUUUCACAGCAUUGCAGACCAUCUAGUUUAGGGACUUUACUCCAAAGCUCAAUUGCUAGAAGAGCGAUAACAUUCUCAUCUUCGUCUGAUCCCUCAGUGGUCAAUUCAAAUAGAGUGUCCAUGUAAGGUUCAAGCAACUCAUAAUAUGUCGAUGUCAAUAGUAGAAAGCAAAGCUUUGUAUUUCGUUGUCCUAUUGACUUCUGCAGAGGUCGCAUAUAAGACUUGAGUAAUCCUCCCGCACUGUAACUAUAAAAUUUUGCGAUUGGCUUAUCUGUUGUGGUUCCAUUUUGAACCGCCCUAAGUAUAUCCCUAAAGUUGAGUCAGAUUUUCAGUUAUUAUCCCUUGAACUUUUCCACUUUGUAUAAUAACUAUAAUGCAAUAGGACAUAUAGUUAUGCUAAAUGUAUGGUUCCAGGUAAAAUUGAACCAAGGGUUUCGGAUUCGAAAAUAACAUAUACAAUUAUAUUGCUAGCAAGUAUAUACAAACAACAAACAGAGAAAAAACAGAAAUUUAACAUUAGUAUAGAUGGAUAGAUAGAAAUUUGAACUCCUAUUUUAAGUCAUUCUUGUCUAACUUUCCAUCAACGAAGAAUCUCUUCUUCUGUUUUCCACAAUAUAUUUCAAAGAGAGAAACUAUUGUAUGACCAAGUCAAUUGAGAAAAAAAUAAUAAUAAAUGAACAAUAAAGACAUGAUGUUACUCCAUUUCAUCUUCCAUAAGACAAGAAGGGACACUUUAAUCAAGCGAAACCAAGUUGUAUGAAUGCAGUAAAUUUUAGUGCAUUUUUUUACGGAAUCUAUAUAAUCAUAAAAAGUCAAGACGUGUCAAUUUUCUGCAAUUAACCCUCUUUGUAUAUGUCUCUAAAGUCUUUAGCAACAUUGGAUCUAAUAAUACUUAAUCAAUGCCGGUAAAAUCUUUAACACUCUUUAUUAAUGUGUAUAUUUAUUGCCGCUAAAAGUUGUUUUUGUUGUAGUGCAUGUAAUUUAAAGAAUACACCAAAAAAACAAAUUGAUCUUUUUAUUAACACCCAACAAUAUAUUUUGUAUAAUGCAAAAGGUUUUACCGUUUAGUAGACUUUAGAUUAUUUAAUAAUGAAAGAAUAAAAAUAAAAAGAAGAAUAAAAAAGAUAAACGUAAAAAUAAUAAUGUGGGUUCAUGAUAAUUACCAAGAUAUAAAUAAGUUAAUAAAAUAAGUAGUCACGUAAGAAAUGAUGAUAUAACUAACUAAACACCAUUUCAUUUCUUAAUUGUUACAACGACUUCCACAUUAAAAAAAGUGAACAAUUAAUUAACUAAACGAUAUUUCAUAAAGUAGCAUUGUUGACUUGUCUAUGCAUGGGACUAUUAGGUACAAAUUAACGAAAAGAAACACAUCCAGACAAAUAAAAUGAGGUAAUAAUUUGUGGUUGCAAAAAAAGUUGUCCUAAGUGUUAAAGUCAAUUUCCAGGAAGACUCAAAGGCACCUGUAUUUCAUGAAUGAGUACUAGUCACUUGUAACAACGUGUUACACAUAUUUUGUAGUGUUCCACGAGACUUUUUAGAGCACGAAGAAGACUUAACAAAAUAAUACUCACUAUGUCCUAAUUUUCUCUAGAUGUUGUUGUUCAUUUUGAGGUCAUAGAUCAAUUAUCUCUACAGUAUGUGUUACACAAGAUGAUGUGAAAUCGAUCCCUUUAAUCAAGCGAAACCAAGUUGUAUGAAUGCAAUAAAUUUUAGUGCAAUUUUUCCACGGAAUCUAUAUUAUCAUAAAAGGUCAAAACGCGUCAUUGAACCAAUUGUGAGAACAAUUAUUGUACAUUCGGAAUAGAGGAAACCAAUUUGUACAAAUGCAUUAAAUUUUUAUGCAAUUUUUCCAUGGAAUCUAUACAAUCAUAAAAGGUACGCAACUUGUGGUCCAUGAAUGAGUACUACUCACUUCUAACAACUUAUUACUCAUAUUUUGUAGUGUUUGUUAGAGGACGGAGAAGACUUAACAAAAUAAUAUAUACUCCAUAUUUAUUUUUGUUCUUUUAUUUGGUUUUUAUUUUCAUUCAUGUUCAAUUUUCAUUACAAGGAUGAAUAGGCCUUUAAGUCCACUGCUACGGCAAACACAAAAAAAAUCGAACUUCAAAUGCAGGAAUUUCUCCUCCAAAGAUCUAAAAGUGUGAGUUGCUUCAAUUUAGAGAUUGUUAAAGGAAUAUAUAUUAGGUUACAUAUGGAUGAAGGUAGUGGACCCCGAAAGGAAUUAAAUUUAAGAUCAAGAUACUCUACAUUAUGGUAAUGAAAUUUUGGUAGGUGGCCUGUUAAUGAAUUAUGUGAAAGGUUUACGAACCCCACCUCAUGCCAUUAAACUAGUUAGGAAUUUGACCACGAAUCUUAUUGAUAUGAGUCCAAAAAUAUAUAUUUUAAUCAUUAUUUACCUUACAUUUAUUAUAUAUAUCUGUCCUUUUUAAGCAUGAAUUUUAUGAAUUGCGUUAAAUAGUAUAUUUUAUUUAUAGGAUUAAAUUGGUGUGAAGAUGAAGAAGUUUGCAACUAAAACGAAUUAAAGAUGAAAAAUUAUAGAAGGAAAUCAAGCAGACGGCUUAAUGGAAUAAAUUGAAUAUUAUAAUAUAUUCAUUCAAACGUACAAAGAAAGGAAAUUAAUGAAGUUUACCUGCAUUACUUGCCACGUGGCUGAUUCUGAAGGCAGCAAAGAGAAUUGAGGCAGUUGGACGACCAUUGUUGACGUGGAAGUCAAAUUCCGCUUGGUUUUGGUUUUUCGAUUUGUUUUGGACUCAGUUAUUUGUCACGACCCGAUUCCUUGAGCCGUGAUGGCACCUACUAUAUCCCACCAGUAGGUAAGCCAACCCGUAACCCAGAACGACUAGUAGUGGGUAAAAGGGCAGAAACAAAACAAGAGUAUGCAAAAUUUAAGAUAAUAAUAUAAACAUGCAAAAGCAAACCAAAACAUAUAUAUAUACCAAUAAAGAUCCCUCCCAGAACCUGGAAGUCACUAGUACAGAGCUACUAACAGAACUAGUACAAGUCCUAAAAGUGGACCACAAAAACUGGACUAUCUCAAAAGGCAAAAGACAAGUCUAUGUAUACAGAUGGAGACUGAAGUAGUACAAACGCCAUGUGCUCACCCCCGUCUCCGGAUCAGACUACUCCAAGCUCGAUAUCAACAAUGGCCAUUGGUGCUUGGGCCUGCAUCACUAAAACAUAUGCAGAGCGUAGUAUGAGUACCAAAACAACAGGUACCCAGUAGGCAUCAUAAGCCGAUUGAACUUGAAAAGUAAAGCCAUUAUGAAAAGAAGGAAUAACACAAACAAAGGUCAAGAAUGGAAGUCUAAGUAAAUGAUGGAAUGCACACGAGUGUAAAAAGAACUAACUAAAGUAAUUUAUAAGCUAACUACACCUAACUGGACCCCCAUAAGCCCAGAAGGUACACUCGUGCACAAGUUCAAUUAAAAACUCGAACGGACCCCCAUAAGUCCGACGAGUACACAUAAUAACUAUAACUAAAGAGAAUUGCAAAUAAGAACCCAAGAAUGGAGAACAUCAAACCAGAACCUCAACCCCAAUUAGUAGAAUCUGACAGUUCGGAGGCGGACCUCGAACCGGAUGCUCACCAGAAGUACCCAAGUAAUCAGUCACAAGUAUCAAGUAAUUGAGGCCAGACCUCUAACCGGAUGCUCUAUAUAAGUAUCUGGGCGAUAGAGGCCGGACCUUAAACCGGAUGUUGUAUAUAAGUAUUUGGGUGAUAGAGGUCGGACCUUAAACUAGAUGCUCUAUAUAAGUAUUUGGGCGAUAGAGGCCGGACCUUAAACCGGAUGAUGUAUAUAAGUAUCUGGGAGAUAGAGGCCGGACCUUAAAUCGGAUGCUGUAUAUAAGUAUCUGGGCGAUAGAGGCCGGACCUUAAACCGGAUGCUGUAUAUAAGUAUCUGGGCGAUAGAAGCCGGACCUUAAACCGGAUGCUCUAGAUAAGUAUCUAGGCGAUAGAGGCCAGACCUUAAACCGAAUGCUCUAUAUAAGUCUAUGAGGUCGGGGCAGGAGCUCGAAUUUGGAUGCCCGACAAACGUGCCAAUGAAGCUGCUGAAAGAGUCUCAAUCGAUCCAUGCUCAUAAAUGUCCGUGGAAUGCCGUCCACACUUAGCCAAUCAAUGUAAGUCCUUGGAACCAAAUCAAAAACCAACUUAAAAUAGCGAAGCAGAAUCAGUGUCGCCGACAUAACUCGUGAAGCCGUAACAUCGAGGAAAUAAGGAUAACUAUCGUCGGAGCAAGCGUAUCGCCUAGCUAAGGCCCAAACUAUCAGACUCAAGUCUAGUACACCAGUCUACAGGGAUCUAAGCCGACUGAGCGACGUCGGGGAAAAACUAAGGCCUAUCGAUUCCGAAUCAUGUAUUUCUAAGGCAAGCCCUAGUCAAACCUAAACUAAGGCCCAACAUGCUUCAGAUAAACAGUAAUCAUGCAUACAAGCACUCCACAUAGUAAAGAGGGUCAAUUAGUAACACAUAGCAUGCUCACAAUUACCCAACAAUUCCCGAAAGAGGCCAAAACAUGAUUUCUAAACACCUAUGCACGAUUCAAUAAAUACCAACCCAAAUCCCAACUAAUUAACAUGCAUUCACACUCUCGAGCUCAAUCUAAGAGAGGGAAGCCAUAGCCUACCUGUAGGCCGAUCACGCGCGCUCCAAAAUUACUCAUCCGGAGCUUUUCCUUUCCGAACAACCUCAAAACGCUGCCACGCAGAAACGGGAGGUCUACAGUGAAUUCCGACAAAACUAUGACAUUCUCCUCAAAAAACCACUCAAGAUAGCCUCAAGAAUCACUCAAACGGGGAUGCCAAAUCAGUUCCGAGCUCACCAAUACGUUCCUUGCGAAAAACCCCACAAGAUGAACCUUUGAAUCACUGAAUUUGGACUUGAAAUGAGAGAGUUAAGCCCUUUAAAAAAUUUAGAACUAGUGCUGAAUUUUUGCAUAAAUACACCAGAUUUCAGCAUAUUUCAGAAACUUAAAAACUUCGACGGGGUGCUCCGAACUCGUUCGAAACCCCGUGCACGCAAACGAUAUAUGCAAACAUACCAAAAUUGUUAUUCCGGACUCAAUGGCAUAGUCAAAAUUUCCAUAAGAGGUCAUCUCGAUAAAAAGUGGGUCCCACUCCCAAAGGCCAUUUUUCACCAAAAUCCACCUAGGGGCUCGGAAUGAGUUCGGAGGCCUCGGGAGUCGAACAAAAGGUCGUUCUAGACCAAACUCGACAUUCCAAAACUAACCGUCUUGAUGGAAUUUUCAUCCGAGCGCGUUUUCCAAGAAUGUUGACCAAAGUCAACCUUAGGCCAAAUUUCAAAGGCUAAAAUGCCUAAUGGUCCAACCUCACACCGAAGGCCUCGGUACUCGUGCCAACCAUGCUACUAGCCUAAUUUGGCCAUUCCAGAGCUGAUGGAACUGUCAGAAUUCCAUUCUGAGGUCGUUUACCUAGCGUUUUGACUAAAGUCAACUAUUUAAGUUUCAAAAGCUCCAAAACGGGGAAACGGACAUAAAACCCAAACGAACGACUAGGCGACCGAACAGUCAGUACCAGCAAGUCAUAAAUGACUUGGGUCGCUAUAGGAACGCUCUAAACGACGAAAAGGAGGCAUUAAGGCAAAAAUGACUUGAAGGGUCAUUACAUUAUUUUAUUUAGGAUUUUCUACAUCUAUAAAUAGUCCAUAGAAAUAAUUAUUGGGGGAGAUGAAUCAUAGGUAUAAGUAUAAAGUUGUCAAUACUUUUUAGACUUCUAUUCUUUUUCUUUUCUUAGACAUUAGUAGUUAAAGACCCUUGUUCUGGGGUUGUAGCUAUGUGUAAGUGUUGAACAUCGAUUGUUUUGAAUUAAUGAUUGGUUAUCGCUUAAAUUACUUUUGUAUUCUUGUUUUAGUAUUUCUUGACUGGCCAUCAUAGACAUAAUUCUCUUGUCUACUCUUAAAAUCGGGAGACGCUAAGGUAGAUAGACCAAUGGAGACAAAAAAGCUUGAUGUUCCAUUAAAUUGAGUUGAUUUGUGUUUAGGAGUGACGUCCAGACGAACACCUAGCCUGGUUACGAAACAUGAUGAAAUAUAAAUGCUCGCCAAUUAGGACUGUCUAUCCCCGCUCAACGAUGUAGUUAGACAGUUAAUUGGAGUAGGCGAUUAGAGGUCGGGAGACCAUGAUCGAUCAUAAAAUCAACCCUGUAAAUCAGUAAUUUGAUAACUGUAGUUAAUUCAUGCAUGAGAUGUGAUACAUGAACCUUAUGCAUGCUGCGGCCCUGAAAUUUUCCAACCAUUGUAAGUAAUUUUAUUAUUUAAUUCUUACAUUCUUAGUAUUUAAAUAAAAGUCAAUUCUUUUGGCACUCUUAAAUAAAUAAUUAGACUAGUAUAAUUUAAUAAAAUAGUUAAUUGACAAGUCUUUUGGGUUCGAUAUAUAAUCCGAUUUUGUUAAGAGUCACUAUAUUACUUGCGCGACCACAUACACUUGCGUGUGCAAUUGGGAGCAACAUUGUUAGAAAUAUCCAAGUACACAAAUGUCUUUACAUUUCUCAACAAGUGUGAAAAAUCCUUCAGAUUACAAGAUAAUAACUGCAAAACUUCUAGGCUAGCAAAAGUGAUUUGUAGUAUUCCAGCAUCGAUGGUGAUGUUAUUUGAGACAAAUAUCUCCUACAUAGAAUUUUUCCUAUCCACAUUUACAGAACCAUGUGUAACACAUAACAAAUGUGAACUUGAGACAAAUAUCUCCUACAGAAAACCAGCUUUGCUGUCUUAAGGACUGAAUCAUGUGUAACACACAACAAAAAAUGGUACUAUCUUAUAGUUGUUCACAACAACUAAAUGAUACAAACAACAACAUACUCGAUGUAAUCCCACAAGUGCGGUCUGAGGAGGAGGGUAAUGUGUACGCAGACCUUACCAUAACUUGUGGAGGUAGAGAAGAGAGGUUAUUUCCGAUAGACCCUCCAUUACAAAAUUUACAAAUUCUACGUAACCAUUACACUUAGGUACAACAUGGUAACAAUACAAGUACCAUUAUUUUGGAAGGUUGAAAAAUAUGUAAUUCAUUUUUUUAACAUAUAUAAAGAGUCUUAAGCAAAGCUACUUGGUUCGGAUGAACUCGUAGCUGCUUCACUAGAUUCCCCCCUACAUUGUUCCUGGGAUAAUUGUAUGCUAGACAAUUUGAAACAAAGUUUCAAAGAAUAUUUUUUUUUCACUAUCAAAUCGUCUAAAAGUAACUAUAAGUGACACUUCAUGAAAUUAAUAAUUUGAAAUCAAGGCAAAUAACGUGUCAACUAUUAUAAAGUGAUAAAUUUUAUACUGGCAAUAUAUACAAGGUAAGGAAGUUAAGGGAAUCGAGUAAAAUUUAUUAGAGCACCAAGCUUGAAUGUCAUUUGAAAAGAUAAUUUUCAAAUCCUUAACCUGGUGUUCUAUACCCGCUUCGGAGCCCCAACUAAUAUAGGCCCGUGCAGCAUAAGGCCCAUUAAGAGAAGAGAAGCCCAGCCCAUGUUUAAAAGGGCAGCCCAUUUUUGAGGCCCAUGAAAAUUUCUCUAGAUUAUACCUUACUCAAUAAAAGAGAUAUUAUUUUUAUUUUUUUACCAUAGCUUAACUAUGAAACAUAAGUUUACAAGUUACUACAUUGAUUGAAUUUAAGAAAUAUGAAAAAAGUUUCUAGUUGUUGGCAGUUGUACCCACCAUGCUAGAAAGUGUUGCUUAUUUGCCUAGCUGAUUAUCCUUAUUCUAUUACUAGAUGAAAAUGAUUCAAAUCCGAAAUAUAUGAUUAAGGGUGAAGUUGUGAAGGGAUCUCAUUAUCUUUUUUCUUAUCCUGAGAAAGAAGUAUAGCUCAGGUUCGAAAAGUGUUUAGUAACUUCAGCUCAAAUCAUAUAUUAAUAUUUAAAAUUUUCAAAUAAUCUAUCAAAAGCCUAUUAAGUGCGGUUUUUUUCUAAAAUCCGGAUUUCAUAAAUUCCAAGUCCUAUCUUUACCUCACCUUUCAAAAGUGGAGCCAAAAUUUGAUUUCUAUAAAUUUUGAAUUUAUCGCUUAACUCUCACAACUCAUUCUAAUUACCAAAUUCAUAAUUAUAUAUUUAUUUAUAUUUAAUUAAUUUCUUAAUAUAUAAAUACGGAGUCUAAGUGAAAGAAAAAUAAAAUAAGAUAAAAUUACAAACACGAGAAAGAAAUUAAUCCGCUAGCCAACCGAUAAGCUAUCGGGCUCGGUAUCGGGUUAGGAAUUAAUGGAUGGUUAUCGGUUGGUGUAUUGGCUCCAACAUUUUGUGCUCCCUUCUUUCACUUUCACUCACAAUUAGAUUGAUCUCCCAUCAAACAAAUUAGUUUUUGUAGCCCUACUUAAGCUGGUAAUUCAGUAAUUGUAAAUCACAGUGAGACACAUAUGAACUAAAUUUUGAGGGUGCAAGCACAUUAGUAUUUAGUUAAUAAAUAUACUUACGGAAAAAAUGUAACUACGAUAAUUUUUAAAAGGUUAACGGUUUAUCCUAUAAGGAAAUUGAGUAAUCCGCCCCGCACUGUUAACUAUAACAUUUUAAUCGGUUGACCAACCGUUAAUCUGAUCGAUCAAUAAGCCAAUUUUGUGAUUGGCUUAUCGGUUAUGGCUCGGUUUUGAAACGCCUUAAGUAUACCCCUAUAGUUGAGUCAGAUUUUCAGUUACACGCCCGACUUUUGAGAUGGUCUUAUUAGCCUGAACUUUUCCACUUUGUGUAAUAACUAUGAUGCAAUUGGACAUAUAGUUAUGCUAAAUGCAUGGUUCCAGGUAAAAUUGAUCCAAGGGUUUCGGAUUCGAACCUUAAAAAUAAAGAAAAUCCUGAUAGAGAGUGUUUUACCCCAGAGGUGGAUGUAGCCUUUUCCUGUUUUGUUGUACUAAUAAGUGGAUUACUUCAAUCAACAACACAAUAGAUGCUCUCCUCUGUGUGUAUGAGUUCGGCCAUUUGAAGAAAAAACAUGUAACAAACCGAAAUCCUCACUAUAUUAAUAAGAGCAUUGGAACACUAUUACAACUUGCAAUAAUCAACUACCGAAUUACAAUGGAAAUAUUGAAAUAACGAGUAAUUAAAGAUAGAGAGAAGAAUGGAGAUGAGAAGCUUAGACUCUAGAAGAAGAGGAGAGGACAAACAUUUUCUUCAAUAUGCAUCCUCCCUAAAUCACUGACCACUACCCCAUUUAAUGGAACCGUUUUCACGCCCACUCUCGACCCAAAUCCCAAAUUAGCCUGGACCUGUUGCUUGCUCUAGGCCCAAUAGCUCUUGUCAGUCCAAUAACUACUUGUGUGACUUUGGUAUCCAUAUCGGGUUGGACUUGGUUCAUAACAAAGCAUCGGAUAAUACAGAGUGUUCCUAAGGCUAUGAUGACACAAUCUGCAGGUUCGUGGUAUUUUCGAAUUCAAAACAUUUAAGAUUAUUUGGAUCAUUGUUUUCAAUGUCUUAAUUAAGUCACAGGUUAACAAGUAAAUCUUAUCAUUCUGAUAAAAUAACACAUACAAUUAUAUUGCUAUCAAGUCAUAUAUUUUUAAAAGUGGGAAGCCUCAAGUUGCAAAGUUGAAUUACCAUUUUAUCUCUAUAGUAAAUUAAAAUAUUAUAAAAUAUCUAAUUAAUUAAAUAUUAAAUAUGCCUAAAUUGCUAAGUUGAUUCACUUAUUGUUAAAAUAAAGUAGGAGAAUGAAGAGUUGUAAAAAUAAUUAAUUAUAAAGUUACGAAAAACUAUUAGAGAAACUUUUCGUUUCUCUAUCUGAUCAGUUUUAGGUGUAAUUUUUAUCAUAAUGUGUAUUAAUACCACACCUCCACUAUCUCAUCAUUAAUCUUCACACCUUCAUAAUGUUCCCACACUCUCAAGAAAUUAAUGGCAUGAUUAUGAUACCUUUUGAUUUUACUCAAUGAUGUCCUAUAAAUUGUGGUAUUUGACACAACAAUCUGUACACUUUGAAGAGACUUAGGUACACUUUGGAAGAAAUAAAAAAAAAAUUGUCUAUAUUUCUAUUGUUUUUAUCCUUUAGUAUUAAUAUCACUUUUAGCUUCAGUUCAUAACACUGAUCACUAAUUCUCCUUAUAUUCGUUUGUUGUUUACAGAAAGGAAAUGUGUACAAAUUGUUAGAUCUUCUAAUGGAGUUUACAACGAGAGAAGGGAUGUUGAAAUCUUCCCGGAGGUUGAAAUCAAUCUUUAAAAGAACACAAGAGAAGGCAUGUUGAAAUCUUCCCAGAGGUUGAAAUCAAUCUUUAAAAGAACAAGUUGGACUUUAAGCAACUUUAUUGAUAACCAUGAUCAUUUUCAUGUUCUAUGAAAUUACAUUAUCCCUAUAUUUGUUAUUUCCUUUUUUUUUAUUAGAUCUGACAUUUCAAAUCCUUGAAUGAAUUCUAUGUAACGGUUUGUUCAUUAUGAUAAUUUAUUUUAAUAUUAUGUUGACAUUAGAUAUUAUUGUACGAAAAUGCUUUGUUUGGGACCUAAUGUCGGUGAUUUCUUCAUACUUAAAGCUUUGAACAUCUAGAUUUUAUAUAUAUAUAAAACAAUGGUUGUUGCAUGACCUACCAAUAAAAAUAAAUUUAUUCAUGUAAUAAAAAUCUAAGUUGCAAAUAAAAACAUUUUAAUUUUGGUAUUAUAUUCAUGCUUUAGAUAUGUUAUUUUUUAUUAUGUAUAAUUAUUAUUAUUUUAAAAUUUUUCCUUGUUAUCAUAUUAAAUAUCAUAUUUUUUUCCUGUUGUUUUUAACUACGUCAUGAGAUCAAAAAGAAGAAUUAUUAAGAAAUUGCAAUCGAAGUUUGUAAUUGAAGAUGUUUUGAUCUAAUAUAUAUACUCAACCGUUAACACAAUAUACCGCUAGGAGUGUAAAUCACAUAUAGCCAACCGUUUGGUGCAAUGUUAAUUAAUUUUGUUUAGCUUUGGUUGCAUGUAAUAUUAUUGUUGGUUUGGCAAUUUUCAUUUUAAAGAAAAUUAUUAGCUUGUAGACUUCACAAUUUAUAAUGUGUUUUAGUUUCUAUUUGAGGAAUGAAUUAUUGAAUAGGCAGUGAGAAAAUCGUCUUUCGUGAUUUAAGUAGUAAGCUCGGAUUCAUGAUUGAGAAAGGAAUUUUUCAAGUGCAAUUUGAAAUUUUCUACUAUUCUUAACAUCUCAUUAUAAAGAAUUUUUUAAAUAUUUUAUUUGAUUAAAUAUAGUUCUUACAAAAUAUAACACGAUAAUCAUGUUUCAAUUUUAACAUCUAUCAGUAGUUCAAUACAAACUUUAUAAAAUAGAAAUAUAAUUAAAAAUUAAACUAAUCUAACAGUUUCUUAAAAUUCAUCCUUUAACUAUAAUUCUCCAAAUUAAGAAAUCUGCAACCUGAGAUGAGAGUUUUAAAUAAAUUUUACCUUUUUUAAGUGUUGGAUCGUCAUGACAUCAUAAAAAUAUUGAAGGGGUGUCACUCAUUAACGAUUUAAUUUUUGUGAAGUGAAGAAGGGGGUGACAAUUUAAACUAAUGUGGGAUUAUCUUAUAUCUGAGUAUACGAGAAAUCACAUUUUAAAUGUCUAAACCACUUAUAAAUUUGCUAUAGAUAAAGAAGAGUUUAUUCUUAUAUGCACAUGUAUAUCAUUCUUUAAUAUCAAAUUUCUAACAAUCCAUCAUUAUAUUGAGGGCCUUCAAAAGCAAUAAUCAUUCUAUUAAAUACUAAUAUUGAGGGCCUUACAUCUCUUCUUCUGUUUUCCACAAUACAUUUCAAAAAGAGAAACUAUUGUAUGACCAAGUCAAUUGAGAAAAAAAAAAAAUGAAUAAUAAAGACAUGAUGUUACUCCAUUUCAUCUUCCAUAAGACAAGAAGGGACACUUUAAUCAAGCGAAACCAAGUUAUAUGAAUGCAAUAAAUUUUAGUGCAAUUUUUUUACGAAAUCUAUAUAAUCAUAAAAAGUCAAGAUUUUUCAUUGAACCAAUUAUGAGAACAGUUAGGGUACGUUCGGGAUAGAGAAACCAAUUUUAAGAAUGCAAUAACUUUUAUGGAAUUUAAUUUAUACAAUAUUCCGAGUUAGUGAUUAGUUGUCUCAUCUGCUAUUUUCAAACUUGUAAGGUACACAAUAAUUUUCGAUCACAUUAAGUUAAUGAGGGAAAAUCCAUCAAUAUUCAAUUCCACCUAAGGAAAUAAGGGAUACGGUAAUGUAACUAGCGGACGAUGACUUGUAAGCCUUUAAGCCAAUUUCCUCAAAGACUAGAGGGGGAAAAGAUUAUGAUAAAUCGGGAUUGAUGAACAAUUGAAUCACAAAGUUGAAGAAAGAAAAAGUUCAUUUUGAGGUCAUUAACUAUAUCUGCAGGGUGUGUUAUCCAAGAUGAUGCGAAAUUGGUCCCAUUAUGUGGAAAAUUUUCUGCAGAACUUCUAAAAAAUUUCCAAUGACGGAAACUAUUGCUUGACUAAGUCAAGUGAGGAAAAAAAUGAAGAAUAAUUAAAGACAUGAUUUAAGUCCUUCAUUUCCUCCUUGUGGAAUUUUAUUUUUGUGCUUUUAUUUGGUUUUCAUACAAAAUUUUGUUUGAUAUGUGUCUUCCAGCUUAAUUAGUAUGUUUUGAAUAACUUGGUGAAGAUCAAAAUUUAAGGAUGAAGUACCACAAAAUUAUUAGCCACUUCUGUAGUUUUGAGUAUUCUUAUUUAUCAAUUUUCACAAAUAUAAACUAAUUUCAAUCAUGAACCAAACUCUAUAUGCUUACUGCACUGUUUUUUCCAAUUUUGUUGUAUUAAUGAGCUAUGUUGCUUGGACUCUCCUUAAAUAUGAUGAUGUUGCACCCAUGUUGGUUCCUUAAGAAAUACACAACUUUUGAAGAAUCCAACACAUACUCGUUGACAUUUUUGAAAAAUCUAAGUAACAUAGCUAAUGAGUGGCUGUGUAGAUCACUUCUGUCAAUUUGAAACAGAAACAAACUAACAUAACUUGAAUAAACAAAAAUAACACACAUAUAAUUAUGUUUCUAACAUAUACAAACAACAAAUAGAAAAUUAAAAAAGACAAAAACAGAACAGUUCACUAAUUAGUCCACAAAAUCAAACAAAGACAAUUUAGCCCUCUCAAUCUUCCAUUAAGUCCUUCGUCUCUGAGCUCUCUUCUUUGGCCUUCUUCUUUUGUGAGGCAUGAGUCCAUCAAAAAAUUGCACCAACCAUUUUGGAUUAACGAUAUUUAAACAUGAGACUCCACAUGACAGUUCCAACAACUAGUCCACAGCUGUAGCCUAUGACUACAGAUUCCCAAGUAAAUCCACUAAAAAAAUAUGACUCGUCUUCUUCUUCGGACUCCAAUUGUUGAGGAACAUGCGAUGAAUCACUCGUUCCACAUUUCUUUGUUAAAGGAACACCACAUAAAUCAAGGUUGCCACCAUAUGAGUCAUUUUCAAAUGUGUUGAAUUGUAGAACUUGAGGAAUUGGUCCAACGAGAUGAUUUUGAGAGACGUUUAAGAAGGCCAGAAAGUUCAAUCUUGUCAAUUCCUGUGGAAUCUUUCCAGUGAGCCGAUUCCAGGAGAAAUCUAAAGCUUCAAGCAUACUCAAUUGCCCCAAUUCCAUUGGUAUAUGACCUCUGAGAUUGUUAUGAGAUAAAUUGAGUAGCCAAAGUGAUCUGAGAUCCUUUAGUGUUUUCGGAAUGACACCUUCAAAAUGGUUGCUUGAGAGAUCUAUGGUUGUCGUAAUUGUGCUGAUUCUUUCUAGCUCAGUAUCGUGCCCUUUGAUUACCAAACUCACUGAAUCCUCAUACGAUGUGACAAAUGGCGAAUACAACACAGAAUUCAUGUACUUUAUCUCUCUUGUGUCUUCGCCAUCUGAUUUGAUCAUUGCCUUGAAGUUUCCAAAAACAUUUGCAGGAAGUGAGCCACUGAAAUCAUUACGAGAAAGAUCAAAAAUUCGCAACUUGGAAAAGCAAAACUUAGUUUGACAUAUACUUAUAGGUCCAUGGAAUUUGUUCGACUUUAAUAUAAGGACCUGCAGCUCUUGAAGAAUUUCAAGCCAAGAUGGAAACGUGUCAUUUAUAGCAUUGUUCCCCACAUCAAGUACUUCUAGACCACCACACUUGAGCAACGACACAGGUACAGGUCCUUCAAAUUGAUUACCAUUUAUGACAAUGGUACUCAACGAAGUGCUGUGUGCACAUAAUGGGGGAAGACUCCCUGUGAAAUUGUUCCUUCUUAAGUCUAGCACCGUUAGACUAGCCAUGCUUCCCAAGCAAUGUGGAACUGAGUCACUGAAGUUGUUGCGUGAUAAAUCUAAUAAGAUAAGCGAGCUCAUGUUACAAAUGGAUAAAGGUAGUGGACCCAGAAGGGAGUUAAAUUUCAGAUCAAGAUACUGUAGAUUCAUUCCCUCAUCAAUGGUGAUGUUAUUUGAUGAAAUUCCAAGGGUUUCAAGGUUUGUGAGAUUCACAAGUGAUUGAGGAAAAGAACCACUGAGUUGAUUAUUGCUUAAAUGCAGUUGUUUUAAUGUUGGGUUUGUUUUGAUCACUUCAUCGGCUAGUCCUCUGAAUCGGUUAUGUUGGAGCGACACUGAAUGUAGCAAAGGUAGGCUGAACACCCAAGAUGGUAUGGUACCAUUCAGUGAGUUGUAUGACAAAUCCACAAAAGUUAGCUUUUGAAGCAUGCUUUGGUUGCUAGGCAGUGGGCCAGAUAGGGAAUUACUCGACAAGUCUAAGGUAUGAAGUUGUGUCAAACUUAAAAUUGAAUCGGGAAAUGGACCAGUGAAGCUGUUUUCAGAAAGAUCUAAAUAAUAUAGCUCUUUGAGGUUAGAGAAAACAUCAGGAAUUUCACCUGAAAAGGAGUUGUGAGAAAGAUAUAAAUAACGUAGCUCUUUGAGGUUAGAGAAACCAUCAGGAAUUUCACCUGAAAAGGAGUUGUCCGAAAGAUAUAAACGUGUGAGGUGCUUCAAUUUAGAGAUUGUGGAAGGAAUAUGGCCAGUGAAAUGAUUAUGAGAUAAAAUCAACUUCGUAAUUUGUGUUAGGUUUCCUAUGGAAUCAGGAAUGGAACCAGAGAAUUGACAUCUAUAGAGGAUCAAGAUAUUCAAGGAUUUUAAGGUGCCAAUUGAAUCAGGAAUGGAACCAGAGAUGCCUGUGUAUGAUAUAUCCAACUCCGUUAAGGAAGAAGAAAUAUUCGGAGAUGAGAUGUUGACUUGAUAGAGAGAAAGUAUCUCCAGAUUUGUGAAGUUCUGAAACAUUGCUUCAAAUGUUCUCUCAUCAAGUUGUAAUUCAUUACCAUAAGAAGAAGAAAGAUGAAGUGAAACCAAAUUGGAAAGGUAUGAAAUUUCUGUUGGGAUUUUCCCAUCAAAGUCAGCGAGUAUCAGAUUCCUCAAAUUCCUCAAUCGGCCAAUGCCAUAUGGGAUCGAAGAAGGAUUAAAGAAAUUGUUAACAAGGUUUAGUGUGUGGAGAUGAUGAAGCUGGAAGAGGCUGCUAUUGGGAUGAAUACUUACAGGUAUCGGUGAUGAGAUGUUGACAUAAGAGAGAGAAAGUAACUCCAGAUUUGUGAAGUUGUGAAGCAUUGUUUCAAAUGUUCUCUCAUCAAGUUCUAAUCCAUAACCAGAAAGAUCAAGUGAAACCAAAUUAGAAAGGUAUGGGAUUUCUGUUGGGAUUUUCCCUUGAAAGUGAGAGAGUUUUAGAUGCCUCAAAUUCCUCAAUCAGCCAAUGUUAUGUGGGAUUGAAGAAGGAUAAAAGUAAUUGCCAGCAAGGUUUAGUGUGUGGAGAUGAUGAAGCUGGAAGAGGCUGCUAUUGGGAUGAAUACUUACAGGUAUCGGUGAUGUGAUGUCGCCAAGAGAGAGUAACUCCAGAUUUGUAAAGUUGUGAAGCAUUGUUUCAAAUGUUCUCUCAUCAAGUUCUAAUCCAUAACCAGAAAGAUCAAGUGAAACCAAAUUAGAAAGGUAUGAGAUUUCUGUUGGGAUUUUCCCAUCAAAGCCAGAGAGUUUUAGAUGCCUCAAAUUCCUCAAUCGGCCAAUGAUUUUAUGUGGG